RNAcentral lists this ribosomal RNA (249 nucleotides) under uncultured Oscillospiraceae bacterium. Its description in RNAcentral is "partial 16S ribosomal RNA". It matches the Rfam family "Bacterial small subunit ribosomal RNA", at positions 796 to 1041 of the family's 1533-position model. Lineage: Bacteria; Bacillati; Bacillota; Clostridia; Eubacteriales; Oscillospiraceae. The record is from RNAcentral.
CACGCCGUAAACGAUGGAUACUAGGUGUGGGAGGUAUCGACCCCUUCCGUGCCGCAGUUAACACAAUAAGUAUCCCACCUGGGGAGUACGGCCGCAAGGUUGAAACUCAAAGGAAUUGACGGGGGCCCGCACAAGCAGUGGAGUAUGUGGUUUAAUUCGAAGCAACGCGAAGAACCUUACCAGGGCUUGACAUCCAAGGAAUCUGCUAGAGAUAGCGGAGUGCCCUUCGGGGAACCUUGAGACAGGUGG